RNAcentral lists this ribosomal RNA (303 nucleotides) under uncultured bacterium. Its description in RNAcentral is "bacterial SSU rRNA". It matches the Rfam family "Bacterial small subunit ribosomal RNA", at positions 28 to 311 of the family's 1533-position model. The record is from RNAcentral.
GAUGAACGCUGGCGGCGUGCUUAACACAUGCAAGUCGAACGAAGCACUUAAUGAGAUUUCUUCGGAUUGAUUAUUUUGUGACUGAGUGGCGGACGGGUGAGUAACGCGUGGGUAACCUGCCCCCAGACCGGGGGGAUAACAGUCGGAAACGACUGCUAAUACCGCAUAAGCGCACAGUGCCGCAUGGCACGGUGUGAAAAACUCCGGUGGUCUGGGAUGGACCCGCGUCCGAUUAGUUAGUUGGUGGGGUAACGGCCCACCAAGACUGCGAUCGGUAGCCGACCUGAGAGGGUGACCGGCCAC